This 420-nucleotide ribosomal RNA is filed under the name uncultured bacterium. RNAcentral's name for it is "bacterial SSU rRNA". It matches the Rfam family "Bacterial small subunit ribosomal RNA", at positions 917 to 1338 of the family's 1533-position model. The record is from RNAcentral.
GGGCCCGCACAAGCGGUGGAGUAUGUGGUUUAAUUCGAUGCAACGCGAAGAACCUUACCAGGGUUUGACAUCCUGCGAAUCUCUUGGAAACGAGAGAGUGCCUUCGGGAGCGCAGUGACAGGUGGUGCAUGGCUGUCGUCAGCUCGUGUCGUGAGAUGUUGGGUUAAGUCCCGCAACGAGCGCAACCCACGUCUUUAGUUGCCAGCAUUUAGUUGGGCACUCUAGAGAGACUGCCGGUGAUAAACCGGAGGAAGGUGUGGAUGACGUCAAGUCAUCAUGCCCCUUACAUCCUGGGCUACACACGUACUACAAUGCUACGGACAAAGGGCAGCAAACUCGCGAGAGCUAGCAAAUCCCAUAAACCGUGGCUCAGUUCAGAUCGUAGGCUGCAACUCGCCUACGUGAAGGAGGAAUCGCUAG